CUCUGGUCUUGUAGCUGGUGGCCUGGGAGAUGGUUUGGGUGGUAGGUGCUGGAAGCUAAGGCCACUUCUAGAAUCUCAGUAGACGACAGUGGCAGAAUACAAAUCAACCCACCCCAUGCACAGACGGCUGGGAUCCUUUGAGGCUCUUGUUUUAUGGAUGAAAUAAAUCCAGCCAAUGGGGAAUGGAAGGCUCUCUCUCCUCCUGAAGACACAGGUUUGCAUGUGCUACAGACAAAACCAGCAUCUAUUCCUCUCCUGAAGGAUUCUGUGUCUUCAUGAGAAUGUAAAAACAUAGUGAGCACCGGACUGGAGAGAUGAGCCCAUGUCCCCACUGCCAUCUCCUGAUCUGUGGGAAUGGCAGUGCAAAGCUAUUCCCCACGCUACGCUAUGCAUUGCAAGAAAGAGACAGCUAUCAGCUGAACAUAGUAGCAAGAGCUGGAAUUUGAUGGAAAAGAUACCUAGAAUGUUCCCUUUUGUGUUCCUUUUAAUUGGAUGUUAGUGGGAUGACUUUUCACGCUAGUGGCCUUUGCUAGAAUAUAUUGGUCUGCAAGGUGGUGUCAAGAAAUUGGCUGCUAUAAUGAUAUCACUCAUAAGCUCCCAGCCUUUAAAUUUCCAUCAUAUCGCUAUCCCAGGGCAGCUGGGAUUCUUGGGCCUCCCAAAACAUGUUGUGUCCAGAGGGUGAUUUCUCCAUAUAGCUGAGCCCCAGUGUAAACUGAGGGGCACUUCUCAGACUGGUGAUGAAAUUCUUAAUUACGCAGCAUCAAAUGCAGCAGUUCUAGGGAGAAGCAAAUUCACUUUCAUAUUAUGCACAUACAUCAAAACCACCCUGUUUCUGAGACAAAUGCCCAAUCAAUCCAAUCUAUUUUGCCAUCUACAGCAGACGCUGCAUCAAGCUGUUUUAUCAGUUUUAAUUUGUCUUUCCUCGCUGUACUCAGUCAACUUGUGGUUAUCCAGACCGUGGGGAGGGAGCAGCACUAUCCCAAAUGAAGUGGAGCUCAGCUGAACAAGACCAGUGAUAUAACAGAUCGUUAAAAUAAAUGUUUUCUGCAAUAAUCUUAGCAAAAACUGGAGCUACAAUGUAGAGAAAGGGCAAAGUCAGGAAAGAAAACAUUUUAUUUAUGGCGUAGUGCAGUUCAUUUGCAUCUGGAUAAUCUGCCCAUGCAUA
Long non-coding RNA from Numida meleagris (helmeted guineafowl), 1165 nucleotides. RefSeq lists it as uncharacterized. NCBI's taxonomy places the organism in Eukaryota, Metazoa, Chordata, Aves, Galliformes, Numididae. The transcript is spliced from 3 exons. The record is from RefSeq and is a predicted model, not a curated record.